Molecule: ribosomal RNA, 425 nt
Filed under: uncultured bacterium
Lineage: Bacteria
Description: bacterial SSU rRNA
Rfam family: Bacterial small subunit ribosomal RNA
Source: RNAcentral
GUGGGGAAUCUUAGACAAUGGGCGCAAGCCUGAUCUAGCCAUGCCGCGUGAGCGAUGAAGGCCUUAGGGUUGUAAAGCUCUUUCGUGGGGGAAGAUAAUGACUGUACCCCAAGAAGAAGCCCCGGCUAACUCCGUGCCAGCAGCCGCGGUAAUACGGAGGGGGCUAGCGUUGUUCGGAAUUACUGGGCGUAAAGCGCACGUAGGCGGACUGGAAAGUCAGGGGUGAAAUCCCGGGGCUCAACCCCGGAUCUGCCGUUGAAACUCCCAGUCUUGAGUUCGAGAGAGGUGAGUGGAAUUCCGAGUGUAGAGGUAAAAUUCGUAGAUAUUCGGAGGAACACCAGUGGCGAAGGCGGCUCACUGGCUCGAUACUGACGCUGAGGUGCGAAAGCGUGGGGAGCAAACAGGAUUAGAUACCCGGGUAGUCC